UUCCCGGAAGAUCAUGAGUCAUUUUUUUUGUCGCCCAGUAAACACGAAAACACGAGUUCAAGGCGUGCCGCUGUUUUUUACUCGAUCUUGGGUAGUUGAAAGUCCUUUCUACGGGGCCUACAGCAAGUUCGUGGAUUUGAUAAAGCAUUUUUACUUUUGUUUGUGUGCGCCUCAAAGUAGCACAUCGGCCACGUUAUUUGAAGUGUUAAUUUAAAUUUACCUGCGAAGUCCUGCGUCAAGAGAGAAUUGCAAAGGACGAUCACUGGAGUCUGGCGUCGUCACGGACACGUUAAAUCGAAGGCGCAGUUCCGGUUUGAAGUGUCCGCGGAGUUGGCUCGUUUAAAGUCCAGUUGCCUUUUGUUUUCAAUCUGCGAAGGAACAUGAAGCGUCGGGUGUCAUUUUGUCUUUGUUUGUGGUCACUUAUUGGCUCCGCCGUCGGCGAGAUCGUGAACGUAUACGUCGCCGAGGGCCAAACGCUGACUCUGCGGCCCAAGUUUAAAGACCCCGUCGAGAGCGUGGAAUGGCAGCGGAACCGCAACCUUCUCGCCGAGUGGGCCGGAAAUGAAGUGACCCGCUACGACAACCGAAUCGCCUUGAACGUGAGCAACGCAGUGCUGGAGCUUGUGGGCGUGGUCGCGACGGACGCGGGCACCUUCACGGUGUCUUUGAACAACGUGAUGCAGGACGAAGUCUUCGCGGUCAAGGUGAUCAAGUUCGUGCCGGAACCGGAAGUGCACCCGACCCCGCUCGCGUGCUCCGAAAACUUGGAGACUUGCACGCUCCACUGCGGCGGGGACACGAGUGGCGCGGAGCCUGUCACGUACAUUUGGAGAACUGAACCCGAAACGGAAAUGCCGGAAGUACGCAACAGGACCAUCGACCGAAAGACUUCCGCGGUCAAGAGUUUCUUUUGCAUCAUGCAGAAUCCCUUGGGCCGGAAGGAGAGCCAAGCCUUUGCCAACCCCUUCUAUCAGGACCGACCGGGGGGCGGCUUGGGACCAGGCGGGAUCGCGGGAGUCGUCUCGGGCACGCUCGGGGCCUUGUGCGGUGUGGUGGUGGCUGCCUGGUUUUGCAGCAAGCGUCAAAGAGGCUUGGCGUUAAGACCAUCCAAUGGAGCCACGGGGGGAACAAACUUGGAAACGUCACGACCGCUGAACAGCAACAAUUGACCGGCGAGGUUGCCAGGUGACACGCUGACUGUUACUCCGGUCGUGAAAUCGAAGCUCAGUCGCCUCAGAGAUGUUUGAGGAUGUCACUAUCGACAGAUUGAGUUCCAGCCAGCAGCGGCACUGUUGAUUCGAACUGAAGACGGAGAGCAUUCAUUGCUGCUGAUUAUUUGUGAAAUUAUCAUUUAGUAGGUUCAAAUCAUUUGACAGACGCAACAUUAGUACAUAGCUUGAGUUAGGACAGAGAGAAAUUUAAACUGCAAUCAAUGACCCUAGUUCACUUGUGACCCCCAAAAAGUCCAAAUGAAAAUGCAGUUUUGAAAUCAGUUUGAAUCCAGUAUCAGUUGGCAUGAAGUUGAAAAUAAUCCGACUUUGAGUUGAAGUGAAAGCAGCUUAGCUACACUGGCUUUUAUCGAGCAUUUAAUGCUUCUGUUUGUGAAUCAACGCUCGCUCAGUUUAAGUUUUGGGGGAGAUCAAAUGUUUGUUCCAAUUCAUCCCUGUUACAUGGACGUCACACGCGUGCCAAAGCAUUGCCUUCUCAAGUGAAGCAUUCAUUUGAGUGCAAACCUCCACCAAGGCCCCAAAUCCAAAUUUGGAUCUGCCCAAUGCCCUUUAUGUCUUAAUAUAUUUGGCAUGAGCAUUUUUCUUUUGUUCCAGGCGAAAUGAAGGAGGGAAAAAAAUAUGAGAAUGUGAACACCCAAAAUCUUGGAUCUGCGUGGAGUUAAUGGAUGAGAUGUGCCUACACUAGCUUUCUCUCCAAAUGAUAUUUAAUAUUUUAGCGCAUCCUCAGCAAAUGCAUAACCCUGAUAAACACUUUUAAUGCGUCAAUUCAGCAUAUCUUGAGAAUUGCAGAAGGGUCGCCUCCGUUGGUUUCCUCUUAUCUGAUCGUCAACUGUAGGCUCCUUGGGGCCAUGCAGAGUUGAGCACGGUUCUCCUGUUUCACAACCCCUCCACACAACAACACUCGCACAAUAAUACAAAUGCAGAAUUAAACAUAAUAAGUCAUAUUGAAAUCAACCGUUUCCAAAAUUGACUCCAUCACUUUGUCAUGACAACAAAAAUCAAACCCAUUGAUUGAAAUCGCGGUAAAAGUAGACAUGUACUAGGACUGGGCCAUCAAUGGAGUUUUUAUGAUCAAACUGUUUUUUUUUU
Hippocampus comes (tiger tail seahorse) is the source of this 2318-nucleotide RNA transcript. RefSeq lists it as uncharacterized. Lineage: Eukaryota; Metazoa; Chordata; Actinopteri; Syngnathiformes; Syngnathidae. The record is from RefSeq and is a predicted model, not a curated record. The transcript is spliced from 2 exons.